GCAACUCGCCUACACGAAGUCGGAAUCGCUAGUAAUCGCGGAUCAGCAUGCCGCGGUGAAUACGUUCCCGGGCCUUGUACACACCGCCCGUCACACCAUGGGAGUCGGAAAUGCCCGAAGUCUGUGACCCAACCUACGGGAGGGAGCAGCCGAAGGCAGGUCGGAUGACUGGGGUGAAGUCGUAACAAGGUACC
Molecule: ribosomal RNA, 194 nt
Filed under: uncultured bacterium
Lineage: Bacteria
Description: partial 16S ribosomal RNA
Rfam family: Bacterial small subunit ribosomal RNA
Source: RNAcentral